This 460-nucleotide ribosomal RNA is filed under the name uncultured bacterium. RNAcentral's name for it is "partial 16S ribosomal RNA". It matches the Rfam family "Bacterial small subunit ribosomal RNA", at positions 338 to 795 of the family's 1533-position model. The record is from RNAcentral.
CCUACGGGAGGCAGCAGUGAGGAAUAUUGGUCAAUGGGCGGGAGCCUGAACCAGCCAAGUCGCGUGAGGGCAGACGGUCCUAUUGAUUGUAAACCUCUUUAGGCGGGGAGCAAUGCCGGGCACGCGUGCCCUGAGGGAGAGUACCCGCAGAAUAAGCAUCGGCUAACUCCGUGCCAGCAGCCGCGGUAAUACGGAGAAUGCGAGCGUUAUCCGGAUUUAUUGGGUUUACAGGGUGCGUAGGCGGAUUUUUAAGUCAGCGGUAAAAUGUCCGGGCUCAUCACGGGCCGGCCGUUGAGACUUGGGAUGUUGAGUGGGCGAGAAGUAUGCGGAAUGCGUGGUGUAGCGGUGAAAUGCAUAGAUAUCACGCAGAACUCCGAUUGCGAAGGAAGCAUACCGGCGCCCGACUGACGCUGAGGCACGAAAGCGUGGGGAUCGAACAGGAUUAGAUACCCGAGUAGUC